Maniola jurtina (meadow brown) is the source of this 616-nucleotide long non-coding RNA. RefSeq lists it as uncharacterized. The transcript has 2 exons. NCBI's taxonomy places the organism in Eukaryota, Metazoa, Arthropoda, Insecta, Lepidoptera, Nymphalidae. The record is from RefSeq and is a predicted model, not a curated record.
UCGAUCGCGUAAAACAUAUAUCAAUCAUUAAAGAACAGCAUCAAUGUCAAAACAUGGUUUUGGCUCCACGUAUGAUUGAGACUGUCCGUAAAGGACCGUCGAGGACUAAAAAAUUUCUGACAUUGAUGCAGUACACUAUCGAUAAAAAUUUUGUAUGAACACGACUGAAAAUUGGUUCCACGUAAGACUUUUGAAGUAAGUUAUCCGUAAAGGACUGCGACAAAUGUUAUGUCAAACUAGGCUUUCAUUGAUACAAGGCAUGAGGUGUUAUUUACGGUGACAUAUGUGGUAUCCAAAGUCGUUUUACUACUCAUAUUUUUGUUAAAAUAUUUUAAAAAGCUUUUUUAAAAUAAUUUAUCAAAUAACAAAGCAAUUAGGAUUAUUAUAUGAAGUAAGAUAAUGUUAAAAUCAUUGAAGAAUAAUUUUUAGAUUUAAAGUUACCUUUUGACACUUUCGUAUGUUUGCACUUUGCCGCCAAAGGUUUGGUGUAUUCAAGUUUAACUGCGAAUUUUGUAGUAAAAACGUGGUAAAAACACCAAACUAUUGUAGUUUUUGGAUUAAUUAGCCGCAUAGGAUCCUAGCAGAAAAAAGGAAAACAAAUAAAACACCAGUCAAA